Molecule: ribosomal RNA, 497 nt
Filed under: uncultured bacterium
Lineage: Bacteria
Description: partial 16S ribosomal RNA
Rfam family: Bacterial small subunit ribosomal RNA
Source: RNAcentral
GAUGAACGCUGGCGGCGUGCCUAAUACAUGCAAGUCGAGCGAACAGACGAGGAGCUUGCUCCUCUGACGUUAGCGGCGGACGGGUGAGUAACACGUGGAUAACCUACCUAUAAGACUGGGAUAACUUCGGGAAACCGGAGCCAAUACCGGAUAAUAUAUUGAACCGCAUGGUUCAAUAGUGAAAGACGGUUUUGCUGUCACUUAUAGAUGGAUCCGCGCCGCAUUAGCUAGUUGGUAAGGUAACGGCUUACCAAGGCGACGAUGCGUAGCCGACCUGAGAGGGUGAUCGGCCACACUGGAACUGAGACACGGUCCAGACUCCUACGGGAGGCAGCAGUAGGGAAUCUUCCGCAAUGGGCGAAAGCCUGACGGAGCAACGCCGCGUGAGUGAUGAAGGUCUUCGGAUCGUAAAACUCUGUUAUUAGGGAAGAACAAAUGUGUAAGUAACUAUGCACGUCUUGACGGUACCUAAUCAGAAAGCCACGGCUAACUACGUG